This 836-nucleotide ribosomal RNA is filed under the name Salmonella enterica subsp. enterica serovar Javiana. RNAcentral's name for it is "partial 23S ribosomal RNA". It matches the Rfam family "Bacterial large subunit ribosomal RNA", at positions 382 to 1221 of the family's 2925-position model. Lineage: Bacteria; Pseudomonadati; Pseudomonadota; Gammaproteobacteria; Enterobacterales; Enterobacteriaceae. The record is from RNAcentral.
AAAGCGCAUGUGCUGUGAGCUCGAUGAGUAGGGCGGGACACGUGGUAUCCUGUCUGAAUAUGGGGGGACCAUCCUCCAAGGCUAAAUACUCCUGACUGACCGAUAGUGAACCAGUACCGUGAGGGAAAGGCGAAAAGAACCCCGGCGAGGGGAGUGAAAAAGAACCUGAAACCGUGUACGUACAAGCAGUGGGAGCACCCUUUGGGGUGUGACUGCGUACCUUUUGUAUAAUGGGUCAGCGACUUAUAUUCUGUAGCAAGGUUAACCGAAUAGGGGAGCCGGAGGGAAACCGAGUCUUAAUUGGGCGUUAAGUUGCAGGGUAUAGACCCGAAACCCGGUGAUCUAGCCAUGGGCAGGUUGAAGGUUGGGUAACACUAACUGGAGGACCGAACCGACUAAUGUUGAAAAAUUAGCGGAUGACCUGUGGCUGGGGGUGAAAGGCCAAUCAAACCGGGAGAUAGCUGGUUCUCCCCGAAAGCUAUUUAGGUAGCGCCUCGUGAAUUCAUCUCCGGGGGUAGAGCACUGUUUCGGCUAGGGGGCCAUCCCGGCUUACCAACCCGAUGCAAACUGCGAAUACCGGAGAAUGUUAUCACGGGAGACACACGGCGGGUGCUAACGUCCGUCGUGAAGAGGGAAACAACCCAGACCGCCAGCUAAGGUCCCAAAGUCAUGGUUAAGUGGGAAACGAUGUGGGAAGGCCCAGACAGCCAGGAUGUUGGCUUAGAAGCAGCCAUCAUUUAAAGAAAGCGUAAUAGCUCACUGGUCGAGUCGGCCUGCGCGGAAGAUGUAACGGGGCUAAACCAUGCACCGAAGCUGCGGCAGCGACACUCAGGUGU